AGUUAUUUGUAGCUUGUUUUCUUGUUUAAUUCCAAAGCACAAACAACAAAAUUAUGUUGUAUAUCCUUUUCCUGCUUACAUUAAACAUUUUAGCGUUCGCCUUUCUUUUACAUAUUUUAUUCAUUUUUCACCCAAAAGAAUAUCUCCAUCCUUAAACCCACAUGAUUUUUGUCAUUAGGAGUAUAAUAUUAAGUAAAUAAAAAUAUUCAAUCUACUACUGAAACCACUCUGAGUAGUUGAACUUAACGUGCAUGUUGUUGAUUAACUCGGACGCCAUAGGAAGGGCAUGAGUGUACAAAGUCUCAAUAUGAUGAUCACUGAUGGAGAGCAAAUAUUUAACUUUUCAGAUGCAAGCCGUGGAUAAUCCGUCUUUGAGGGCAUCUUUAACAUGGAUGAUGGAAGAUUAGGUGGGUGAAUCGUUGUAGUGAGUAGUAACAUGUAGGAUAUUUGGACAAUUGACAUACAUAUAUUUGAUUGUAUUUUAAUUUUUAUAUCUUAUAGAGAUAAGUAACUUAUUUUCCUUCUCUCUCAAAAAAAAAAAGUAACUUAUUUUCCUAUCGUAUUUUGUUGGUUUCUGACCGAAUUCAUAUUCAACGUAACUAUUUUAACUUGAGAUGCAAG
RNAcentral lists this long non-coding RNA (621 nucleotides) under Medicago truncatula (barrel medic). RNAcentral's name for it is "long non-coding RNA (MTRU_LNC001250)". The record is from RNAcentral. Lineage: Eukaryota; Viridiplantae; Streptophyta; Magnoliopsida; Fabales; Fabaceae.